CCAUGUACUAUUUUUCAAUGCCAUCCUACCAAAUAUUAGUGAUAUCCAUAAAAUCAAAUCUGCAUCCUGAUGUUGAAAUCUCUAGUUCAUUUUGGCUAUUACUGAGACUUGAUUUGUAUAUACCUGAAGCCACUGGAUCCCUUCUUGGCUUCUUUGUCUCUUAUAGAUUACUUGACAUUUUCUACUGUCUUUUUUUCUUUUUAUAUUAUAGUUGCUACUGUCUAAGGCAACAAUUCUCAAACUUCUUGAUCUCAAGAUCCUUUCAUACUCCUAAUGGGAGGACCCUAAAGUUUUUUAUGCAUCAUAAUCAUGUUCCAGUGUUGGCUCUUUAAGGGUAUGACUUUGCCACAUGUAUAUUUUGUGCAGCUCCUACUACAUAAGGAAUGCUGAGUAAAUAUCCAAGAUGGACUUCUUCGAAAGACAAAAGGAAAAGGGAAGCUUUGCUGCAAAAAUGGAAGUUGUAUCUCUCAGGAGGACAAUUUCUGUUCUACUUGUGUAAAACGGAAACCAUUAUAACCCACUUCGCCAAUGUCAUCUGUCCCUUUCCCUGGCUACUAUGGUAGUGUUAUAAAGAGAAACGGUAUCAUUAAGUACCCUUUACAUACCGUUGGCUGUUAUUUACUGCUGGAGAAUUGGGAAUGUAUACUCUCUGACUUGCCAGGAGGGACUAGCUUUAAUUCUAGAUAGCCCAAGUACCUUUUCUUAACUGACUCCCAUUGGGGACAGAAAUGCAAGGCUACAACCUCAAACUUUCUUUUCGGAGAAUAAUGCCAAUCUUGCCUCCUACUGAACCUUUUUUGAAAAUUAGAACUGUUAAAGAGUAAAAUUGAUGAAUCUGAAUUUCACUUCCUUUCCCUUUCCAGACCCUCCCUCUGGUGGAAGAGACGUGAAAUAGCCAAAAAAAAAAAAAGACAGAAUGGAGGGGGAGAAACAGGGGGGCCUGAAUGAUUAACAAACUCAAUGAUUAAU
This 969-nucleotide long non-coding RNA is filed under the name Monodelphis domestica (gray short-tailed opossum). RNAcentral's name for it is "lncRNA (ENSMODG00000048512.1)". The record is from RNAcentral. Lineage: Eukaryota; Metazoa; Chordata; Mammalia; Didelphimorphia; Didelphidae.